Anolis sagrei ordinatus is the source of this 430-nucleotide non-coding RNA. Lineage: Eukaryota; Metazoa; Chordata; Lepidosauria; Squamata; Anolidae. The record is from RefSeq and is a predicted model, not a curated record.
GACAUUCGAUUGAUUGCUAGAUGCGGAAACUUUCUCUCCAACUAUCCAACUUGAGUUCCUGAUCAACCUUUGACAAUGCAGAUCAGCUGGCUUUCCAUACUUAUCCUUUCAGGAAUGAUCUUACUUUGUGAAGGAGAAAAAUUCUCAGAUACAUCAUGUCGGGUCAAGGGUGGAGCAUGUAUGAAGAAGAAGCUGUGUGGAGACUGGAAAGAACUUGGAAAAUGUGGGUUAACGGAAAGGUGCUGUAAGCCUGGUGGCAAUACCGGCGAAGAAUGAAUGAAAAUGAACAUCUGUGAACGCCUGUCAUUUGGAACCUAAAGGAAAUGCAUCACUGGCGUAUUGAGCUUAAUCUUCACAAAUCCACCAAUCAAGCCAUCCUUCUGCUUUAUAACAUUGGAAAUGAUUUGAAUAAAUACCUGCUUGAUUGCAA